CCUACGGGAGGCAGCAGUAGGGAAUCUUCCACAAUGGGCGAAAGCCUGAUGGAGCAACGCCGCGUGGGUGAAGAAGGUCUUCGGAUCGUAAAACCCUGUUGUUAGAGAAGAAAGUGCGUGAGAGUAACUGUUCACGUUUCGACGGUAUCUAACCAGAAAGCCACGGCUAACUACGUGACAGCAGCCGCGGUAAUACGUAGGUGGCAAGCGUUAUCCGGAUUUAUUGGGCGUAAAGGGAACGCAGGCGGUCUUUUAAGUCUGAUGUGAAAGCCUUCGGCUUAACCGGAGUAGUGCAUUGGAAACUGGGAGACUUGAGUGCAGAAGAGGAGAGUGGAACUCCAUGUGUAGCGGUGAAAUGCGUAGAUAUAUGGAAGAACACCAGUGGCGAAAGCGGCUCUCUGGUCUGUAACUGACGCUGAGGUUCGAAAGCGUGGGUAGCAAACAGGAUUAGAUACCCCAGUAGUC
This 465-nucleotide ribosomal RNA is filed under the name uncultured bacterium. RNAcentral describes it as "partial 16S ribosomal RNA". It matches the Rfam family "Bacterial small subunit ribosomal RNA", at positions 338 to 795 of the family's 1533-position model. The record is from RNAcentral.